Nerophis ophidion (straightnose pipefish) is the source of this 627-nucleotide long non-coding RNA. RefSeq lists it as uncharacterized. The transcript is spliced from 4 exons. Lineage: Eukaryota; Metazoa; Chordata; Actinopteri; Syngnathiformes; Syngnathidae. The record is from RefSeq and is a predicted model, not a curated record.
CAGGUGGUACGUGUUAAACUAAUCAUCUGUUGUCUUCAACAGUGAGCGGCCGGGUGCAGGAGCGAAGGAGGAUUGGGGCGACUGAAAAAUCAACCAAAGUGAAGCUUUACUCUGGAUCAGAGCGGUCAAGCGAACAUGGAUCCGGACCACUUGUCAACCGGCAGGUUUGGCUGCUGUCGACUUCCCUCAGAGACUGGCGUCAAGACACCGGUGGACACACCCCUCCGACUAUCAGAGGGCGCUGUGACGUCACAUUUUAUUUGCAUGCCCUGUCCAGUUGAGCACACUUUUCAGCAGGUGGAAAGAAGGAAAAAAAGACACACACAAAGGAGGUUGUUCCGGUUCCAGUUUGUGUCACUUUCUAGAAUACUAUGUGUGCAUUAUUCUUUUUUUUUUUUUUUACUAUGCAUUACUCAUGUAAUGCACACACACACAAACACACACACACACACAAACACAUUCUUGUACUUGUUCUUUUCUUGAGAAAAAAAAUGCCUACCUCUUUAGGACCACCCUUUCUAGAUAUAUAAAGUUUUGUAUUUACCACAUUAAAUAAUGUGUACAUACUAGGCAAAUAUAAAAAACUGGUUGUGAAAAAUGAGACUAGAAGAGUCAUAAUUUAGAAUG